AUGUAACAGAGUGUGUUGGAGGGUCAAAGGCUGUGACUUUUGAUGACUUAAAUUCCCGUUACCACACACACUGUGACCCUAGGUUGAAUGCAUCACAGUCGCUAGAGCUGGCUUUUGCUAUAGCAGAGAGGUUGAGAAGGAAAAGGUUAAGGUCUGGUGAUGGCAUCCUUAGAGGCUACAAUGUUGGUGGAUCUGUGGCAUAAGAUGCUUGACUUUGGACUUUGUUACUAAGUUGUGGAAU
Molecule: unclassified non-coding RNA, 241 nt
Filed under: Hevea brasiliensis (rubber tree)
Lineage: Eukaryota; Viridiplantae; Streptophyta; Magnoliopsida; Malpighiales; Euphorbiaceae
Source: RNAcentral